Molecule: long non-coding RNA, 1695 nt
Organism: Homo sapiens (human)
Lineage: Eukaryota; Metazoa; Chordata; Mammalia; Primates; Hominidae
Gene: GAS5
Product: growth arrest specific 5
Source: Ensembl
GUCUUUUCGAGGUAGGAGUCGACUCCUGUGAGGUAUGGUGCUGGGUGCAGAUGCAGUGUGGCUCUGGAUAGCACCUUAUGGACAGUUGUGUCCCCAAGGAAGGAUGAGAAUAGCUACUGAAGUCCUAAAGAGCAAGCCUAACUCAAGCCAUUGGCACACAGGCAUUAGACAGAAAGCUGGAAGUUGAAAUGGUGGAGUCCAACUUGCCUGGACCAGCUUAAUGGUUCUGCUCCUGGUAACGUUUUUAUCCAUGGAUGACUUGCUUGGGUAAGGACAUGAAGACAGUUCCUGUCAUACCUUUUAAAGGUACAUGUUUUAUUGAUGUUAACGUUAAUUGAUUGAGCUACUGUUAGUGAUGAUUUUAAAAUUAAAGCAGAUGGGAAUCUCUCUGAGAAAGAAAAUGGAGAUUAAUCUUAAACUGAAACAGUAGUUGGGAAAUCUUUUAGAAAUCCACCUAUUACUACCUAUUGGUAAAGGAGAUUAAAUUUCUACAGGUAUGGAGAGUCGGCUUGACUACACUGUGUGGAGCAAGUUUUAAAGAAGCAAAGGUAUAGCAGUUCCAAGUAUUUUUUUUUUUUUUUUAGACAAGAGUCUAGCUCUUGCCCAGAAUGGAGUGCAGCGGCACUAUCAGUUCACUGCAACCUCUGCCUCCCAGGUUCAAGGAAUUCUCCUGCCUCAGCCUCUUGAGUAGCUGGGAUUACAGGCAUGUGACACCAUGCCUGGCUAAUUUUGUACAGCUAUGUUGUCCAGGCUGGUCUCGAACUCUUGACCUCAAGUGAUACUGCCCGCACUGACCUCCCAAAGUGCUGGGAUUACAGGCGUGAGCCACCAUGCCCCGCCUCAAGUCUGGUUUUUAAGUGUUGUAAAGCCGAUACAAUGAUGAUAACAUAGUUCAGCAGACUAACGCUGAUGAGCAAUAUUAAGUCUUUCGCUCCUAUCUGAUGUAUCUGGCGGUAACAUUCUAGUUUAUGCCCCGAAAAGGGGAAUAUAGCCAUUCUAUAAUGUUUGGAGAUUUUGGAUUACUCCUAAUUGUAUGCAAGUUGUCUUACUGUGUAUUGUCCCUUAAUUUCAGGACUCAGAAUUCAUGAUUGAAGAAAUGCAGGUUAGUUUAAACUUUGAAGGAAAUUUUUAAGGUGGCAAAAGGUUUUGGUGGCAUAUACACCUUAAUCUGUAGAUGGGAGUGAUUAGCUGUUUAAAAGUUAAAAUGUGACUGAGAAGGAAAUUGAGUAGGGCAAAUUUUAAAUGGGUAUUAUUUUUCAUCUUCAAACAGGCAGACCUGUUAUCCUAAACUAGGUGAGUCAGCUUUUGGUACAUGUGAUGAUUUUCAGUGUAACCAAUGAUGUAAUGAUUCUGCCAAAUGAAAUAUAAUGAUAUCACUGUAAAACCGUUCCAUUUUGAUUCUGAGGUUACUCUACUAACAAGCAUCACACAUUUGUAUUUUGCCCUGAUUAAUAUGUUGGCUUCGCUUUCAGGGUUUUUAAUGACCACAACAAGCAAGCAUGCAGCUUACUGCUUGAAAGGGUCUUGCCUCACCCAAGCUAGAGUGCAGUGGCCUUUGAAGCUUACUACAGCCUCAAACUUCUGGGCUCAAGUGAUCCUCAGCCUCCCAGUGGUCUUUGUAGACUGCCUGAUGGAGUCUCAUGGCACAAGAAGAUUAAAACAGUGUCUCCAAUUUUAAUAAAUUUUUGCAAUCCA